RNAcentral lists this ribosomal RNA (773 nucleotides) under uncultured Neocallimastigales. RNAcentral describes it as "partial large subunit ribosomal RNA". It matches the Rfam family "Eukaryotic large subunit ribosomal RNA", at positions 18 to 634 of the family's 3401-position model. The record is from RNAcentral. Lineage: Eukaryota; Fungi; Neocallimastigomycota; Neocallimastigomycetes; Neocallimastigales.
CAGACGAUGCGUCAUGCAUAUCAAUAAGCGGAGGAAAAGAAACUAACAAGGAUUCCCUUAGUAACGGCGAGUGAAGCGGGAAGAGCUCAAAUUUGAAAUCUUCAAGGUUUUACCUUGACGAAUUGUAGUUUAAAGAAGUGUUUUCUGUUGAAGUUUUGGUAAAAGUUCUUUGGAAUAGGACAUCAUAGAGGGUGAGAAUCCCGUAUUUGACCAUUAUUUUCAGCUGUGUGAUACACUUUCAAAGAGUCGGAUUGUUUGGGAAUGCAGUCCAAAAUGGGUGGUAAAUUUCAUCUAAAGCUAAAUAUUGGCGAGAGACCGAUAGCGAACAAGUACCGUGAGGGAAAGAUGAAAAGAACUUUGAAAAGAGAGUUAAACAGUACGUGAAAUUGUCAAAAGGGAAGCGUUUGACACCAGUGUUGUUUUCUCGAAAAUCAAUUAAAAAGAGUUGGAUUUUGUGUUGUAUUGACCUUAACAGUUUGCUUCACUCUUUUCCUGCUUUUUUUAAUGCACUUUUCGUUUAACAAGUCAACAUCAGUUUCUUUUGUUGUAAAAGGGUCAUUGGAAGGUGGCUUUCUCUUCGGAGAAAGUGUUUAUAGCCUUUGAUCUCUGCAAUCGGAGAGACUGAGGUCUGCAGCGUAGAUCCUUCGGGGUUAGAUACAUUUGUGCUAAGCUACAGCUUUUCAUAGACAACUUGUUGACUAUGAUCAGUCAUGUAACUUACUCGCUUAUGCUAUUUUACCUACGCUUAGGAUGUUGAUAUGCAUGACUGAUAU